UGUUUUAUACAUAAGUCGGAAAGUCUGAUACUGACAUAUGUAGAUACAGUGGGUCGCACACGUAGAUAGAUGAAUCAUUGUAGUCGACGACAGCCACCUGGCCUUCCCUUCGGACCGGAAAGCUCCAAGCGAUUAGGUGGUCGAGUUACACGAAGACUGCGACCAUACUCCAGUUGGUCUUCCUGUGUCUGUGACUCCUGCAUAGGUGGUGGAGUCUGUAAUCCUUGUUGCGAACAUGAUACGUAAUUGUAGGCGUAUGGUUGUUGUGACUCCUCGGGGAUAAACGAUGGGCCAAUAAUGUCCUCUCCGAAGAAUUCCGUAACUAAUGCAUUAAAAUUGUCGCCAUCAUCUUGUGAUGAUCCCUGUAUGCGUGUGUUGAGGCCAGGUUGGGUGCACUCAUCGUCCCAAUUUACAUCAGGUAAGUCCUACACAUAGAAACAUUGUAAACAAAAACUAUUAGAGGAUAAUAUGUAAUAUCACAAUAAAUGCAUUAAAAUGUAAACAUGACUACCUUCAGAUACCUCGCCUGUACUGUCUGGACAUUCUACCUGGUACUGGUUUAAAUCUGGGACACGAGUCUCCUCGGGCAUGGAG
RNAcentral lists this long non-coding RNA (594 nucleotides) under Triticum aestivum (bread wheat). RNAcentral's name for it is "long non-coding RNA (TAES_LNC007029)". The record is from RNAcentral. Lineage: Eukaryota; Viridiplantae; Streptophyta; Magnoliopsida; Poales; Poaceae.